RNAcentral lists this ribosomal RNA (827 nucleotides) under Onitis sp. sp71. RNAcentral describes it as "SSU rRNA". It matches the Rfam family "Eukaryotic small subunit ribosomal RNA", at positions 470 to 1255 of the family's 1831-position model. RNAcentral also lists the same sequence under 1 other name. The record is from RNAcentral. Lineage: Eukaryota; Metazoa; Arthropoda; Insecta; Coleoptera; Scarabaeidae.
ACGAAAAAUAACGAUACGGGACUCAUCCGAGGCCCCGUAAUCGGAAUGAGUACACUCUAAACCCUUUAACGAGGAUCAAUUGGAGGGCAAGUCUGGUGCCAGCAGCCGCGGUAAUUCCAGCUCCAAUAGCGUAUAUUAAAGUUGUUGCGGUUAAAAAGCUCGUAGUCGAAUUUGUGUCCCGCGCCGCCGGUUCAUCGCUCGCGGUGUCAACUGGCGUGUCCGCGGGACGUCCUGCCGGUGGGCUUAGCUCCUCGCGGGCGGCCCAAUCUCAAUCCCACCGCGGUGCUCUUCACUGAGUGUCGAGGCGGGCCGGCACGUUUACUUUGAACAAAUUAGAGUGCUUAAAGCAGGCUAAAAUAUCGCCUGAAUACUGUGUGCAUGGAAUAAUGGAAUAGGACCUCGGUUCUAUUUUGUUGGUUUUCGGAACCCCGAGGUAAUGAUUAAUAGGAACGGAUGGGGGCAUUCGUAUUGCGACGUUAGAGGUGAAAUUCUUGGAUCGUCGCAAGACGGACAGAAGCGAAAGCAUUUGCCAAAAACGUUUUCAUUGAUCAAGAACGAAAGUUAGAGGUUCGAAGGCGAUCAGAUACCGCCCUAGUUCUAACCAUAAACGAUGCCAGCUAGCGAUCCGCCGACGUUCCUCCGAUGACUCGGCGGGCAGCUUCCGGGAAACCAAAGCUUUUGGGAUCCGGGGGAAGUAUGGUUGCAAAGCUGAAACUUAAAGGAAUUGACGGAAGGGCACCACCAGGAGUGGAGCCUGCGGCUUAAUUUGACUCAACACGGGAAACCUCACCAGGCCCGGACACCGGAAGGAUUGACAGAUUGAGAGC